AGUGAACGCUGGCGGUAGGCCUAACACAUGCAAGUCGAACGGCAGCACCGUAAGAGCUUGCUCUUACGGGUGGCGCGUGGCGGACGGGUGAGGGAUACAUCGGAAUCUACUUUUUCGUGGGGGAUAACGUAGGGAAACUUACGCUAAUACCGCAUACGACCUACGGGUGAAAGCAGGGGAUCUUCGGACCUUGCGCGAUUGAAUGAGCCGCUGUCGGAUUAGCUAGUUGGCGGGGUACAGGCCCACCAAGGCGACGAUCCGUAGCUGGUCUGAGAGGAUGAUCAGCCACACUGGAACUGAGACACGGUCCAGACGCCUACGGGAGGCAGCAGUGGGGAAUAUUGGACAAUGGGCGCAAGCCUGAUCCAGCCAUACCGCGUGGGUGAAGAAGGCCUGCGGGUUGUAAAGCCCUUUUGUUGGGAUAGAAAAGCAGCAGGUUAAUACCCCGCUGUUCUGACGGUACCUAAAGAAUAAGCACCGGCUAACUUCGUG
RNAcentral lists this ribosomal RNA (492 nucleotides) under uncultured bacterium. Its description in RNAcentral is "partial 16S ribosomal RNA". It matches the Rfam family "Bacterial small subunit ribosomal RNA", at positions 29 to 507 of the family's 1533-position model. The record is from RNAcentral.